Molecule: small nucleolar RNA, 82 nt
Filed under: Castor canadensis (American beaver)
Lineage: Eukaryota; Metazoa; Chordata; Mammalia; Rodentia; Castoridae
Description: Small nucleolar RNA SNORD24 (ENSCCNG00000020045.1)
Rfam family: Small nucleolar RNA SNORD24
About the family: U24 is a member of the C/D class of snoRNA which contain the C (UGAUGA) and D (CUGA) box motifs.
Source: Rfam by way of RNAcentral
UGCCACAAUGAUGACAUUUUAUUUGCUACUCUUGACUGCAAGAAUGACGAUAAAUGUAACCACCAUUAUACUUACUGAGGCA